UACGUAGGAGGCAAGCGUUAUCCGGAAUGACUGGGCGUAAAGGGUGCGUAGGUGGCUUGGCAAGUUGGUAGCGUAAUUCCGAGGCUCAACCUCGGCGCUACUACCAAAACUGUCGGGCUCGAGUGCAGGAGGGGUAAGUGGAAUUCCUAGUGUAGCGGUGGAAUGCGUAGAUAUUAGGAGGAACAUCGGUGGCGAAGGCGACUUACUGGACUGUAACUGACACUGAGGCACGAAAGCGUGGGGAGCAAACAGG
This 253-nucleotide ribosomal RNA is filed under the name uncultured bacterium. Its description in RNAcentral is "partial 16S ribosomal RNA". It matches the Rfam family "Bacterial small subunit ribosomal RNA", at positions 524 to 776 of the family's 1533-position model. The record is from RNAcentral.